This is a long non-coding RNA of Setaria italica (foxtail millet), 753 nucleotides long. RefSeq lists it as uncharacterized. Lineage: Eukaryota; Viridiplantae; Streptophyta; Magnoliopsida; Poales; Poaceae. The record is from RefSeq and is a predicted model, not a curated record. The transcript is spliced from 2 exons.
GGAGGCGGCUCGUUUAUUCGGCUCCAGUACCACGCCGCACCGUCUCCUCUAGAACCCUCUCGUCCCCCGGUCUCCGCGUGCGGCGGCGCGAUUCCUCCCUCCGGCUCCGAGAGAUCGUUCUGGAGUCAGAUCCGGACCGCGGAUUCGAGUUUGCGCCCGCGCUCGUCGGCUCCAGGGACUCCUACUCGAUAUGGGGAACACUGCAUCUGUGAAAACUGAGGAGCAACCUGCCACAGCUCCUGCACCUGAGACGAAGCCGAAAAAGAAGAUAUGUUGCGCUUGCCCAGAUACGAAGAAGCUGAGAGAUGACUGCAUCGUGCAGAAUGGCGAGGAUGCCUGCGGAAAGUUCAUCGAAGCCCACCUGCAAUGCCUGAGAGCUGAAGGGUUCAAUGUCUGACGCCUGGCUCUGUCGUGGCAACUUCACACCUGUUUCUGCGAUAGUCCGAUUUUGAUCAUAAACAGUAUGAUGGAUGAGAACUUUUGGUAGAGUGAUAGGAAGAACUCACUGUUUCAUUUCUAGAGUGCAAAAAAGAAUGCCGCUGAACAUGGCAGUUUGCAAGGCAUCCUGCACCAUACAUAUCUGCAAUUCUUGAUUAUACUUUUAUGGAACAUUGUAUAUGAGAAUUGCUUGUUUGGGUCCACUGGCUGGAGAUCCAUCACCACGUAUGGAACAAUUGUUGCCAGUUUUGCUACUAGCUAGAGUUUCCGAUCACAUGUUCCAUUGAUAUAUCAAUGAAGACGAUAUUACACUCU